CGUCCAAACCAAACCCCUGUGAACCUUACGGGAUGGCCCGGGUUAGCGCCCGGUGCCGUUCCGCUUUAUACAAACACUUAUCAAAGAAUGAACUGAAGGCGGUCUGACCGCUGGAUAACAAACUGAAACAACUUUCAACAACGGAUCUCUUGGCUCUCGCAUCGAUGAAGAACGCAGCGAAAUGCGAUAAGUAAUGUGAAUUGCAGAAUUCAGUGAAUCAUCGAAUCUUUGAACGCACCUUGCGCCCUCUGGUAUUCCGGAGGGCAUGCCUGUUUGAGUGUCUUGAUAUCAUCAAACCCCUCGGGUUCGCGCCCGUCGCGGUUUGGAGUUGGGGGUUGCUGCCGCGAGGCGGCUCCCCUUAAAAUCAUCGGUUUGGCCCGCAUCAUGCGGCUUGCACCUUUGGCGUUGUAUUUUCCUCGCCUUCAAUCGGUCUCGCUCGCUUCCGUGCCUCACUUCGACUUGCCCUUUGGGUGGCGGUCACUUCUUGACAAUCUGGCCUCAAAUCAGGUAGGACUACCCGCUGAACUUAAGCAUAUCAAUAAGCGGAGGAAAAGAAACUAACAAGGAUUCCCCUAGUAACUGCGAGUGAAGCGGGAAAAGCUCAAAUUUGAAAUCUGGCGGUUUCUGCC
This 629-nucleotide ribosomal RNA is filed under the name uncultured fungus. Its description in RNAcentral is "eukaryotic LSU rRNA". The stretch from base 130 to 283 matches the Rfam family "5.8S ribosomal RNA". Lineage: Eukaryota; Fungi. The record is from RNAcentral.